RNAcentral lists this ribosomal RNA (520 nucleotides) under Salmonella enterica. Its description in RNAcentral is "partial 23S ribosomal RNA". It matches the Rfam family "Bacterial large subunit ribosomal RNA", at positions 711 to 1228 of the family's 2925-position model. RNAcentral also lists the same sequence under 3 other names. The record is from RNAcentral. Lineage: Bacteria; Pseudomonadati; Pseudomonadota; Gammaproteobacteria; Enterobacterales; Enterobacteriaceae.
AGACCCGAAACCCGGUGAUCUAGCCAUGGGCAGGUUGAAGGUUGGGUAACACUAACUGGAGGACCGAACCGACUAAUGUUGAAAAAUUAGCGGAUGACCUGUGGCUGGGGGUGAAAGGCCAAUCAAACCGGGAGAUAGCUGGUUCUCCCCGAAAGCUAUUUAGGUAGCGCCUCGUGAAUUCAUCUCCGGGGGUAGAGCACUGUUUCGGCUAGGGGGCCAUCCCGGCUUACCAACCCGAUGCAAACUGCGAAUACCGGAGAAUGUUAUCACGGGAGACACACGGCGGGUGCUAACGUCCGUCGUGAAGAGGGAAACAACCCAGACCGCCAGCUAAGGUCCCAAAGUCAUGGUUAAGUGGGAAACGAUGUGGGAAGGCCCAGACAGCCAGGAUGUUGGCUUAGAAGCAGCCAUCAUUUAAAGAAAGCGUAAUAGCUCACUGGUCGAGUCGGCCUGCGCGGAAGAUGUAACGGGGCUAAACCAUGCACCGAAGCUGCGGCAGCGACGCUUAUGCGUUGUUGGG